UCGAAUGAAACUAGAGUUUGGUUGUCGCUGGCCCCUCCACUGGGGCAUGUGCACGCCUUCUCUAUUCAUCCACACACACCUGUGAACUUGUGAGACGGAUAGUAGUCCUUUCGGGGGCGAGGUCCGUCUGCUAUACAUAAACUCCAAUAAUAUAAAUCUGAAUGUAAUCUGAUGUAACGCAUCUUUGAAC
This 190-nucleotide unclassified non-coding RNA is filed under the name uncultured Ceratobasidiaceae. RNAcentral's name for it is "sequence contains ITS1". Lineage: Eukaryota; Fungi; Basidiomycota; Agaricomycetes; Cantharellales; Ceratobasidiaceae. The record is from RNAcentral.